AUGUUAUGGAGCGCUGCAUUCAUCUGCUGUCUGAUCCCAGCCUCAGGCUCCGACUCAAGGUACUGGACGUGCUGGAGUUGUGCGUUCAGGUGCUGAGUGAGAGGGAAAAUGAACUGCUGCCUAUGGCUCAUCGCUGCUGGCCAGCACUCCUGCAGAGACUCACAGCCGAUGACCCAUUAGCAGUCCUCAGAGCCUUCAGGCUGAAGCAGACCUAGAUGCU
Oreochromis niloticus (Nile tilapia) is the source of this 220-nucleotide long non-coding RNA. RefSeq lists it as uncharacterized. NCBI's taxonomy places the organism in Eukaryota, Metazoa, Chordata, Actinopteri, Cichliformes, Cichlidae. The record is from RefSeq and is a predicted model, not a curated record. The transcript is spliced from 3 exons.